Molecule: ribosomal RNA, 252 nt
Filed under: uncultured bacterium
Lineage: Bacteria
Description: partial 16S ribosomal RNA
Rfam family: Bacterial small subunit ribosomal RNA
Source: RNAcentral
UACAGAGGUCCCGAGCGUUGUUCGGAUUCAUUGGGCGUAAAGGGUGCGUAGGCGGUUUGCUAAGUUUGAUGUGAAAUCCCGGGGCUUAACCCUGGAAUUGCAUUGAAUACUGGCGGACUAGAGUCCUGGAGAGGAACUGGAAUUUACGGUGUAGCAGUGAAAUGCGUAGAGAUCGUAAGGAAGACCAGUGGCGAAGGCGAGUUUCUGGACAGGUACUGACGCUGAGGCACGAAGGCCAGGGGAGCAAACGGG